GGGUCAAAAAUUUAUUGCAAUAGAUUGGUACUAGAAGGAGAGCAUUAGAUCCAUUUUUUUUGGAAGGAGUAAGAGUUUGACACCAUGGCACUAUGCAAAGGAGUAUCCUCCCAUCAUUCCAACACCGCUAACUCUCAACUGACUAAAAAUCCUGCCAAUCAACGGGCCCAAGUGCAACCUUUGGAGGUUCCACCUCCACCUUCUCAAUCGAAAAUGGUUGUCAAUGCAGAGCAAUUCAACUUGCUUGUCUAGCAGGUGUGGGAUUUGACUGCUACUAUUCAAGCAAUAUAGCAGACUAAUUUCGUGCCA
Molecule: long non-coding RNA, 309 nt
Filed under: Elaeis guineensis (African oil palm)
Lineage: Eukaryota; Viridiplantae; Streptophyta; Magnoliopsida; Arecales; Arecaceae
Description: long non-coding RNA (EGUI_LNC057631)
Source: RNAcentral